GCAAACUUGGUCAUUUAGAGGAAGUAAAAGUCGUAACAAGGUUUCCGUAGGUGAACCUGCGGAAGGAUCAUUAACGUAUCCGACGGCGGGGGUCGGAAGUGCCCCGCUCCGGCCGCCAAGGCCGUGCAGCGGGCGCCCGCCCCCGUUCGCACUCACAAACCCAAACUGUGCACCUUCACGGUGGAGGGCGGCGGCGAGAGCCGUUUGCCCAAAGCCGCAUGACUUUUAAACCCCAGUUCAAAAGAAUGUCGUGCGAACCUCGUGUCGCAAACAAACUGAAACAACUUUCAACAACGGAUCUCUUGGCUCUCGCAUCGAUGAAGAACGCAGC
This 331-nucleotide unclassified non-coding RNA is filed under the name uncultured fungus. RNAcentral's name for it is "partial contains small subunit ribosomal RNA, internal transcribed spacer 1, and 5.8S ribosomal RNA". The stretch from base 1 to 73 matches the Rfam family "Eukaryotic small subunit ribosomal RNA", at positions 1759 to 1831 of the family's 1831-position model. Lineage: Eukaryota; Fungi. The record is from RNAcentral.